RNAcentral lists this ribosomal RNA (1442 nucleotides) under Pseudomonas azotoformans. Its description in RNAcentral is "bacterial SSU rRNA". It matches the Rfam family "Bacterial small subunit ribosomal RNA". The record is from RNAcentral. Lineage: Bacteria; Pseudomonadati; Pseudomonadota; Gammaproteobacteria; Pseudomonadales; Pseudomonadaceae.
CUCUUGCAGUCGAGCGGUAGAGAGAAGCUUGCUUCUCUUGAGAGCGGCGGACGGGUGAGUAAUGCCUAGGAAUCUGCCUGGUAGUGGGGGAUAACGUUCGGAAACGGACGCUAAUACCGCAUACGUCCUACGGGAGAAAGCAGGGGACCUUCGGGCCUUGCGCUAUCAGAUGAGCCUAGGUCGGAUUAGCUAGUUGGUGAGGUAAUGGCUCACCAAGGCGACGAUCCGUAACUGGUCUGAGAGGAUGAUCAGUCACACUGGAACUGAGACACGGUCCAGACUCCUACGGGAGGCAGCAGUGGGGAAUAUUGGACAAUGGGCGAAAGCCUGAUCCAGCCAUGCCGCGUGUGUGAAGAAGGUCUUCGGAUUGUAAAGCACUUUAAGUUGGGAGGAAGGGUUGUAGAUUAAUACUCUGCAAUUUUGACGUUACCGACAGAAUAAGCACCGGCUAACUCUGUGCCAGCAGCCGCGGUAAUACAGAGGGUGCAAGCGUUAAUCGGAAUUACUGGGCGUAAAGCGCGCGUAGGUGGUUUGUUAAGUUGGAUGUGAAAUCCCCGGGCUCAACCUGGGAACUGCAUUCAAAACUGACUGACUAGAGUAUGGUAGAAGGUGGUGGAAUUUCCUGUGUAGCGGUGAAAUGCGUAGAUAUAGGAAGGAACACCAGUGGCGAAAGCGACCACCUGGACUAAUACUGACACUGAAGUGCGAAAGCGUGGGGAGCAAACAGGAUUAGAUACCCUGGUAGUCCACGCCGUAAACGAUGUCAACUAGCCGUUGGAAGCCUUGAGCUUUUAGUGGCGCAGCUAACGCAUUAAGUUGACCGCCUGGGGAGUACGGCCGCAAGGUUAAAACUCAAAUGAAUUGACGGGGGCCCGCACAAGCGGUGGAGCAUGUGGUUUAAUUCGAAGCAACGCGAAGAACCUUACCAGGCCUUGACAUCCAAUGAACUUUCUAGAGAUAGAUUGGUGCCUUCGGGAACAUUGAGACAGGUGCUGCAUGGCUGUCGUCAGCUCGUGUCGUGAGAUGUUGGGUUAAGUCCCGUAACGAGCGCAACCCUUGUCCUUAGUUACCAGCACGUAAUGGUGGGCACUCUAAGGAGACUGCCGGUGACAAACCGGAGGAAGGUGGGGAUGACGUCAAGUCAUCAUGGCCCUUACGGCCUGGGCUACACACGUGCUACAAUGGUCGGUACAGAGGGUUGCCAAGCCGCGAGGUGGAGCUAAUCCCAUAAAACCGAUCGUAGUCCGGAUCGCAGUCUGCAACUCGACUGCGUGAAGUCGGAAUCGCUAGUAAUCGCGAAUCAGAAUGUCGCGGUGAAUACGUUCCCGGGCCUUGUACACACCGCCCGUCACACCAUGGGAGUGGGUUGCACCAGAAGUAGCUAGUCUAACCUUCGGGAGGACGGUUACCACGGUGUGAUUCAUGACUGGGGUGAAGUAGAA